GGGCGAUUAGCUCAGUUGGUUAGAGCGCCACCUUUACACGGUGGAUGUCGGGGGUUCGAGUCCCUCAUCGCCCA
This is a non-coding RNA of Bifidobacterium pseudocatenulatum, 74 nucleotides long. The record is from Rfam. NCBI's taxonomy places the organism in Bacteria, Bacillati, Actinomycetota, Actinomycetes, Bifidobacteriales, Bifidobacteriaceae.